CUAGCCCACCGUGAUGGGCCAGCUUUUAGCCAGUUGAACUUCGGUAGGCCAUCGGCCUAGGCCUGGAGGGCUAAGCACUGGUGAACGCCAGCUUCCGAGGCACUGAGUGCAAUGCGGAGCUGAUCGAAUCCGUUGGAGAGGCUCAGCUGGAGCACUUUUCGGAGGAUGCUAGUAUACUGGGUCGAGCCGUACGAGAUAGACGCUACUCGUUCAGCAGCCCGGUAUCCGUAGGUCAGCGUGUCGAUUCUGCGUAAGCGUGCGCAGCGGUUGUGCUAGCCGAUGUGAAUCCCGAGCUACCUCGGGAGUGCAUUGUGACUGCUCGCUAGAGUUUGUCAGAGGGGGGUAGAAUUACCGUGUAGCAGUGCAAAUGCGUAGAGAUGUGGAGGAAUACCGAUGGCGAAGGCAGCCUCCUGGGAUACACUGACGCUCAUGCACGAAAGCGUGGGAGCAAACAGGAUUAGAUACCCUGGUAGUCCACGCCCUAUACGAUGUCAACUAGUUGUUGGGGAUUCAUUUCCUUAGUAACGUAGCUAACGCGUGAAGUUGACCGCCUGGGGAGUACGGUCGCAAGAUUAAAACUCAAAGGAAUUGACGGGGACCCGCACAAGCGGUGGAUGAUGUGGAUUAAUUCGAUGCAACGCGAAAAACCUUACCUACCCUUGACAUGCCACUAACGAAGCAGAGAUGCAUUAGGUGCUCGAAAGAGAAAGUGGACACAGGUGCUGCAUGGCUGUCGUCAGCUCGUGUCGUGAGAUGUUGGGUUAAGUCCCGCAACGAGCGCAACCCUUGUCUCUAGUUGCUACGAAAGGGCACUCUAGAGAGACUGCCGGUGACAAACCGGAGGAAGGUGGGGAUGACGUCAAGUCCUCAUGGCCCUUAUGGGUAGGGCUUCACACGUCAUACAAUGGUGCAUACAGAGGGUUGCCAAGCCGCGAGGUGGAGCUAAUCCCAGAAAAUGCAUCGUAGUCCGGAUCGUAGUCUGCAACUCGACUACGUGAAGCUGGAAUCGCUAGUAAUCGCGGAUCAGCAUGCCUCGGUAAUCGGCU
Molecule: ribosomal RNA, 1046 nt
Filed under: uncultured bacterium
Lineage: Bacteria
Description: bacterial SSU rRNA
Rfam family: Bacterial small subunit ribosomal RNA (bases 130-1046)
Source: RNAcentral